Pelobates cultripes (western spadefoot toad) is the source of this 382-nucleotide non-coding RNA. The record is from the annotation of a GenBank genome assembly. Lineage: Eukaryota; Metazoa; Chordata; Amphibia; Anura; Pelobatidae.
CUUUAAGAAAAAAAACAAACAGUACUUUUACUGUACUUAUGUAAAUAUAGAAUGGGAGUCACUUUGCACUUUAUUGUACAUAAGAAACACAGUCACUUUACAAUAAAAUACACAGUAAAGCAUUUAAGUGCACGGAAUGGAUAUGUCACUUUAAAUAUGGCCGAAAAGACAUCGGCAGAAUACGUUUUUAGAAUGACUUGGAAUUAUAUAUAUCUGGUAUAGCUUUUUGAGUUUUGGUCUGAAAUCAUGAAAACAAGGAAGAAUCUUGUACAGGAAAGGCCUCUAAUUAGUUAAUAGUAAUGGUUGUGUUUUUAAAGUUUUAAAUGUCCUCAUGAUUAGGUAUGUUUGAUUUGUAUGGCUGCAUGUAAGUUAAAUGACCGGC